UAGUCCACACCGUAAACGAUGAAUGCCAGACGUCGGGUAGCAUGCUAUUCGGUGUCACACCUAACGGAUUAAGCAUUCCGCCUGGGGAGUACGAUCGCAAGAUUAAAACUCAAAGGAAUUGACGGGGGGCCCGCACACGCGGUGGAGCAUGUGGUUUAAUGCGAUAAUACGCGCGUAACCUUACCAGUUCUAGUAAGUCUGUCAAUCUUACGGAGACGUAAUGAACUUUGAGACUUUCAGGUGUUGCAUGGCUGUCGUCAGCUCGUGUCGUGAGAUGUACGGUUAAUUCCUGUAACUGAGCGUAACCCUUAUCUCUCUUAAGUUUUGUUAUGGAUAAAACUAAUAAACUCGAUAGAUACUGCCAACGUUAAGUGGGAGGAAGGUGGGGAUGAGGUCAAGUCUUCAUGGGCCCUUAUGAACUGGGGCUACACACGUGCUACAAUGGGGAAGGACA
RNAcentral lists this ribosomal RNA (454 nucleotides) under uncultured bacterium. Its description in RNAcentral is "bacterial SSU rRNA". It matches the Rfam family "Bacterial small subunit ribosomal RNA", at positions 791 to 1241 of the family's 1533-position model. The record is from RNAcentral.